RNAcentral lists this transfer RNA (68 nucleotides) under Marmota monax (woodchuck). Its description in RNAcentral is "tRNA.Ala". The record is from RNAcentral. Lineage: Eukaryota; Metazoa; Chordata; Mammalia; Rodentia; Sciuridae.
GGCUUGUGGCUCAGUGGUAAAGCCCUUGCCUAGCACAUGUGAGGUACUGAGUUCAGUCCUCAGCACCA